GCCUACGGGAGGCAGCAGUGGGGGAUAUUGCACAAUGGGGGAAACCCUGAUGCAGCGACGCCGCGUGGGUGAAGAAGCGCCUCGGCGCGUAGAGCCCUGUCAGCAGGGAAGAAAAUGACGGUACCUGAAGAAGAAGCCCCGGCUAACUACGUGCCAGCAGCCGCGGUAAUACGUAGGGGGCAAGCGUUAUCCGGAUUUACUGGGUGUAAAGGGGGCGCAGACGGCGAUGCAAGCCAGGAGUGAAAGCCCGGGGCCCAACCCCGGGACUGCUCUUGGAACUGCGUGGCUAGAGUGCAGGAGGGGCA
This 305-nucleotide ribosomal RNA is filed under the name uncultured bacterium. Its description in RNAcentral is "bacterial SSU rRNA". It matches the Rfam family "Bacterial small subunit ribosomal RNA", at positions 337 to 659 of the family's 1533-position model. The record is from RNAcentral.